Non-coding RNA from Malus domestica (apple), 1302 nucleotides. The record is from RefSeq and is a predicted model, not a curated record. Lineage: Eukaryota; Viridiplantae; Streptophyta; Magnoliopsida; Rosales; Rosaceae.
GUUAUGCCGAAAUUUUAGUAGGAUUUGUUAUUAGUUUUGGGUUAAUGAUUUUUUUAUCUCUUUGCAGCGAAGAAAAACACCCUAGGACCUUGUCGGCAAUUGAAGACGGCGAAGGUCACCCGAGUGACCAACGGUCGUAUCCCAAUCGGAUACGAUGAGCGACAUCGGGCAGCACCAACUGCGGAGUAGCAUAAUGCAUUGGCCCACGACAUUGGGCAUGUCGUGCAGACCUUUUGCCCUAUGUUGUGGAAGUCUUGGAAGGCGAGCCGGAGGAGACGAAGAACACGGUGCGCAACCAAUUGUCCACAAACUACAAUUUGGAAGACAUGGACGAGGACAUGUUCACGUACCUCAAUCGGCUCUUCUCCAAACGCUACAAGUAGUAGAAAAGUGACUUGCACGAAUGUUUCCAACAAUUUGAUGAUCCGCAAGUCACUCUCGAUGAGGGUUGUCAAAAGGAGUUGAAGGACUGACAAGAUAGUUGGGUUUAGCUUUGCGGUCAUUUUCAAGAGCGGGGCUAUGUGAAGAAGGCGAAGGCGAACAAGAUCAAUCGGGAGAAGAAGAUUCUUCUCCACCAUUCGGGUUCAAGGCCUUUCUCCUAUAAGAUGGGGGCGUGAUGGAAGGAGGGUUCAAAAUUUCCGGAAAUCGACGGCUUUGCUAAUGUUUAUGUUCGGCCUGGGAAUGAGUUGACCGCGAGUCCCUUCAUGUAAGUAAUUUCUUAUGCAUUCAACAUUUACACUAAUUAUUUCAAAUUGUUUUCUAUUAAUAAUCCAUGCUUUUUUUUUCACAAGCAACUAUGGUGGAGAAGAGUCAAUCGGUGCUUCAAGAGUCCGCCUCCCAGCUUCCCUCGGACAUGCCGAUUGAGUCUGUGGAUCCCCCUGAGGAUGCAGGGUUUCACAUCAUUAUAGAGACGUUGGACCAUACUUUCGGUCGGAGGCCAGGGACUUAUUGUCGGGGGAUGGGAAAUGCCAGGCAGCAGGAUAGUAGAGCCUCAUCAUCAUCGCAGUCAAAGGGCCAGGUUACGGCUUUGACGCAAGAAGUCGCUGGGCUGAGGAGUGAGCUGGCAUCGUACAAGUCUCAAAUGUCGAUGCUUGUACAAGCCCUCAGUUCCUUCGGAAUACAUCUCCCCGAUUUUUCUGCACCAUCGCCCUCAUAGCCCUUCCACACUGAGCAAGCACAGCAAUCAGGCCCGUUGACCUCCGACCCCGUCCCCAACCAGCAGCAAGAUCCUUCGAACGACAUUCCUAUAGAUUUUUUUGCUUUUUUUUCAUAGUUUUGUUCCUGCUUUCUUUUAAAACUUUA